RNAcentral lists this ribosomal RNA (253 nucleotides) under uncultured bacterium. RNAcentral describes it as "partial 16S ribosomal RNA". It matches the Rfam family "Bacterial small subunit ribosomal RNA", at positions 524 to 776 of the family's 1533-position model. The record is from RNAcentral.
UACGGGGGGAGCAAGCGUUGUCCGGAAUUAUUGGGCGUAAAGAGCUCGUAGGCGGUUUGUUGCGUCGGCUGUGAAAUCCCGAGGCUCAACCUCGGGUCUGCAGUCGAUACGAGCAAACUAGAGUGUUGCAGGGGAGACUGGAAUUCCUGGUGUAGCGGUGAAAUGCGCAGAUAUCAGGAGGAACACCGGUGGCGAAGGCGGGUCUCUGGGCAACAACUGACGCUGAGGAGCGAAAGCGUGGGGAGCGAACAGG